Molecule: long non-coding RNA, 3423 nt
Filed under: Homo sapiens (human)
Lineage: Eukaryota; Metazoa; Chordata; Mammalia; Primates; Hominidae
Description: non-protein coding lnc-TDRD3-7:1
Source: RNAcentral
CCUUAUUGGAACAAUGCAAAUGAAAAUUAGGACCGGCAUGAACAUCUGUAUAUACGAACAAUCAUUUUAUUGUAGAGCUUUAAUAAACAUUACUGAUCUGUAGGGUGUUACUUUUCUUCAACAGAAAUUAUUCAUUUUUUAUCUUUUUUUUCUUUUUUUGCUAACUGUUCUGCUUGGGAAUUGUAGUAAGACACUGUGUUAACUUUUAAUGCAGUUACUUAGAACACUUCUCUCUCCCAAAACCUCCUGCAGGUUAGCCCUAAGAAGCUUACCAUCAUUCUCAUCACUGUAAUCCACCAGAGGAGAAGUAAACAUGGCUUUGGCCCUUGGAAAAGUGAUUUCAACUCUAACUUUGUGCUAGGACAUUAAAAAACCACAGAAAGAAAGUCAGUGCAAUUAUCUUGUAGGCAUACAGGCUGCCACCAAGUGUGGAUAAUGUCUGACCAAGCUAUAAAUCAGCAGAGCAUGACAGGCCAAUUCCCAUUAUCAAGACCCUCAUGGGGCAUCAUAGUUUCAUUGUAGUGGAAUUUUGUUAUUUUCAGAAACUUCAUAAAAUUAUCUAGUUUUCAGGACUAUAGAUGACAUAUGUGGCAUCCAGUUUUCUGGAGGUCGUAAGAAGGUAGAAAAGACCUACCGUGGAAGUAAUAAAAGAGUACAGCAAGAUUGUUGAAUAUAAGAUCAACAUAUCAGAAUCAAUUUCUUUCCUACAACCUGGCAAUAACCCAUUAGAAAAUAGAAUAAAAGAAAGGAUUUCGUUUAGAAUUGCAAUAAUAUCUAUAUAGUGUCUAAGAAUAAACCUAACAAAGAAUGCAAGAGCUUCAAGGAGAAAUGUUUAAUGAAAAGGCUAACUUUAAAUUAAUACAUUUACCAUGAUACAUUUAUAUCCAGAAUCACCCACAAAAUAUAUUUCAAUGUAUUUAAUAUAAAAGUAUAAAGAUGGACUAGAAGGGAUAUGUAUCAAACUUACGCUUUGGAAAUUAGGUUUGGAACUGAUAUUGGAAUGAUGGUCAAAGGAGACUUCAGUUUUAUCUUUGUAUUACAAAAAAACUUUUUGUUUUAUUUGCAAUCUUCAAUUUUUUAAAGAAUUCACUCAUAUAUUGUGUAUUGAAAAAGUUUAUACAUGGAAAUAUUAGAACACUAGAAGCAAAUAGAUUAGAAUACCAAUUCUGUAUGCUGAGAAUAUGGGUGACUCUUAUUUUCAUUUUCUUUUUUGUUUUAAUAUUUUCCAAAUAUUAUCUCCCAUUGUUUCAGAAAAAAAGGUGACUUGCUAUAAAUUCAGUCAGAGAAGAUUAGGGGCUAAAGCCAGAAUGUUAGGAAGAGGAGAAAAGAGCCAGGUGCAUCACGACAUUGUAAAAAAAAAAAAAAGUUAUAAAACAAAACAGAAUUUGUACUCAUCAAGCCAGGGUUGAUGGUCUUCACUAUGGAAUUCAGGCAAAUUGUUUGCCCAAUGUGGUUAAUGAUGAGUAGGGUCCCUCCAUUUCCCACCGUUGUGCUUUUCCUGUUAACUGCUAGACCGAAAAAGGGAUCCCUUCUAAAAGUUCUUUCUAACCUCCUAGAAUAUUACCUGACAUUAAGUUUGUAUGUUUACAAUUGCUUUUCUCAGUUAAAUAAUUAUGGAUAAAAACUUUGGUUCUAUUGAUUCAAUACCUAGCUGUGCUUUUUUUCCAAGUAUAAUUCUAUUUCCUUGUACUUAAUGGAAAGCAGCAUUAUUAUCCAGAGAAUAUCGAGACCAUGAUCUUCCCUACAUAGAAGAGGCAAAAACAGAGGGAGGGAGAGAAGAAAAGCACUGUAAUUCACUUGAGAAAUGGCAACAGGAGAAAAUAACUGUGGCUGGGCAACCUUGAAAAGUACAAUAUGUUAAAGGUAGUUAGCAGUAAUACUAUUUUUACUGGACAGUUCUAUGUAGGCACAGAAGCGAUUAGAAUCGGGGGAAGGCAGAGAUGAAGCCAACAGGCCCAGGGUUGCAAGGCCUCUUAUCCAGUUACUCAGAAUAUGAAUGGAGCUGUUUAUGUCUCUGCAGUGAGCAGGUUUCAUUUCUCUGAUGCAGUGUGUCUCCCGGGCUUGUUUCCUCACCUUCUUUCCCUUUUCAGCAUUGCCCUUCUCUGGUGUUCACCAUGGCUACCUCUUCAGCUGCACCUAGGACCCUGGAGACUCAUCUCAAACAUUCUACAAGCAGCAACUCCCAGCUAGUUUUAACUGUUCAACCUAGAAUGGAGACUGCAUGUAUUUAAAGAGAGGUAUCAGAGAGUUUGGCCAUUUCAUAAUGACUCAAAAGCUUUAGGUAUCACAUUUUAGAUUACUUCAGAGAAGGAGAAGCUGUGGCUAUCAUAAGUGAGUGUUAUACCUGCAUGCCCCUCUUCUGUCUGGGUGCAUUUUAAAUAUGAGAUAGAUAAAUCCUUUCUGGAAAGCACAGACAUAAAAAAAUCAAUAAUCAAUUUACUUUUACCUAUUGCUUCACAGAUAAUAAAGCAGAGGAAUUUCACUUUUCUUCAUAAGAAUUUUUCUUUUCCCCAAAUACAAAUUUUCUCUCCAAAGCUUUUCUUUUAGUUCUAUAGAAGAAGUAGGCUUCAAGUAGAUUCUAAUAUGUUGUUAAUUCCCAUGGUCCUCAUUUUAAUGAGUGGCACUGGUUCAAGGUAGAAACGUCAUAGCAGCUAGCCUGCAGCUAGGGGCCAGGGCCUAGAGUGGCCCCAGUGGAUGGGAGCAGGUCGCUAGUACUGACAGUGAACAUUCAGAACAGUGAGUUAGGAAUCUGUGAACCCAGAGGGCUUCCUAUCUAUCAGUAGUUAUGAAUCUCACAUUUAUGGAUUUGGUGCUUGUACUUCAGAGAAAAUGAAGGCUGUUUCAUAAAAGAACAUUGCUGGAAAAAUUUCAUACAGAAUAUGCUUUUCAUAAUAGCAAUGAAAAGUAGAAGUUGUGUGGAGAAUAAAAUCACCAUAUGCAGAAAAAAAGGUUUAACUGAAAAUUCAGCAGUGAAUACAAUAAUAAGCAGAAGGCAUUUUAUGGAUUUUUUUUUUUUUUCAAAAAUCAUCCAGUUCUGAUUUGGUCUUAGUCUGAGUUUGAUAACUGGUUACCAUUCCUGUGCCAUGUUGAGUAGACUCUCAUUUGCUCAACAUCAUUGGGUAAUGAUGUAUUUUGUGUGCACACAUUUCCUAGGUAAUUGAAGACUAACCUUUUAAGAAUUAAAACGUCUAAUACGGCUUAGGUAAAAAUCUUUUCACUUUAUAAUCCUUUAAAAUUGAGUCCACGGAACACUGUUCAGCAUUUUUUUGACAACCAAGAUUCAUCUUUGACAAUUUCAUGCAUUGUAUUAUGGUGAAAUGCAAUGAUGUUUCUCCUGGCAUGUUGUUUACAGUGGUUUAUGUCCAUACUAACUGAUGCUGGAUUGUUCUGUUUGAGAUCUGUUGUCUUCCUCCUCCCCACCCC